This 104-nucleotide transfer-messenger RNA is filed under the name Syntrophobacteraceae bacterium CG2_30_61_12. RNAcentral's name for it is "partial transfer-messenger RNA". It matches the Rfam family "transfer-messenger RNA", at positions 1 to 105 of the family's 374-position model. From Rfam's summary of the family: Bacterial tmRNA, also known as 10Sa RNA or SsrA, is named for its dual tRNA and mRNA-like properties. The record is from RNAcentral. Lineage: Bacteria; Pseudomonadati; Thermodesulfobacteriota; Syntrophobacteria; Syntrophobacterales; Syntrophobacteraceae.
GGGGGCGAACAGGGUUCGACGGGGGUAAAGAAGCUAAAGUGGCAUGCCGGGUUCCCGACUGCCCGUAAAAUAGCCGGGAAUAAAGACAAACGCAGACGAUUACG